UUACUGCGAAGGGGGGACGGAGAAGGCUAUGUUGGCCGGGCGACGGUUGUCCCGGUUUAAGCGUGUAGGCUGGUUUUCCAGGCAAAUCCGGAAAAUCAAGGCUGAGGCGUGAUGACGAGGCACUACGGUGCUGAAGCAACAAAUGCCCUGCUUCCAGGAAAAGCCUCUAAGCAUCAGGUAACAUCAAAUCGUACCCCAAACCGACACAGGUGGUCAGGUAGAGAAUACCAAGGCGCUUGAGAGAACUCGGGUGAAGGAACUAGGCAAAAUGGUGCCGUAACUUCGGGAGAAGGCACGCUGAUAUGUAGGUGAAGUCCCUUGCGGAUGGAGCUGAAAUCAGUCGAAGAUACCAGCUGGCUGCAACUGUUUAUUAAAAACACAGCACUGUGCAAACACGAAAGUGGACGUAUACGGUGUGACGCCUGCCCGGUGCCGGAAGGUUAAUUGAUGGGGUCAGCGCAAGCGAAGCUCUUGAUCGAAGCCCCGGUAAACGGCGGCCGUAACUAUAACGGUCCUAAGGUAGCGAAAUUCCUUGUCGGGUAAGUUCCGACCUGCACGAAUGGCGUAAUGAUGGCCAGGCUGUCUCCACCCGAGACUCAGUGAAAUUGAACUCGCUGUGAAGAUGCAGUGUACCCGCGGCAAGACGGAAAGACCCCGUGAACCUUUACUAUAGCUUGACACUGAACAUUGAGCCUUGAUGUGUAGGAUAGGUGGGAGGCUUUGAAGUGUGGACGCCAGUCUGCAUGGAGCCGGCCUUGAAAUACCACCCUUUAAUGUUUGAUGUUCUAACGUGGACCCGUGAUCCGGGUUGCGGACAGUGUCUGGUGGGUAGUUUGACUGGGGCGGUCUCCUCCUAAAGAGUAACGGAGGAGCACGAAGGUUGGCUAAUCCUGGUCGGACNNNNNNNNNNNNNNNNAAUGGCAUAAGCCAGCUUGACUGCGAGCGUGACGGCGCGAGCAGGUGCGAAAGCAGGUCAUAGUGAUCCGGUGGUUCUGAAUGGAAGGGCCAUCGCUCAACGGAUAAAAGGUACUCCGGGGAUAACAGGCUGAUACCGCCCAAGAGUUCAUAUCGACGGCGGUGUUUGGCACCUCGAUGUCGGCUCAUCACAUCCUGGGGCUGAAGUAGGUCCCAAGGGUAUGGCUGUUCGCCAUUUAAAGUGGUACGCGAGCUGGGUUUAGAACGUCGUGAGACAGUUCGGUCCCUAUCUGCCGUGGGCGCUGGAGAACUGAGGGGGGCUGCUCCUAGUACGAGAGGACCGGAGUGGACGCAUCACUGGUGUUCGGGUUGUCAUGCCAAUGGCACUGCCCGGUAGCUAAAUGCGGAAGAGAUAAGUGCUGAAAGCAUCUAAGCACGAAACUUGCCCCGAGAUGAGUUCUCCCUGACCCUUUAAGGGUCCUGAAGGAACGUUGAAGACGACGACGUUGAUAGGCCGGGUGUGUAAGCGCAGCGAUGCGUUGAGCUAACCGGUACUAAUGAACCGUGAGGCUUAACCUU
RNAcentral lists this ribosomal RNA (1494 nucleotides) under Shigella sonnei. RNAcentral describes it as "bacterial LSU rRNA". It matches the Rfam family "Bacterial large subunit ribosomal RNA", at positions 1451 to 2925 of the family's 2925-position model. Lineage: Bacteria; Pseudomonadati; Pseudomonadota; Gammaproteobacteria; Enterobacterales; Enterobacteriaceae. The record is from RNAcentral.